This 492-nucleotide ribosomal RNA is filed under the name uncultured bacterium. RNAcentral's name for it is "partial 16S ribosomal RNA". It matches the Rfam family "Bacterial small subunit ribosomal RNA", at positions 29 to 507 of the family's 1533-position model. The record is from RNAcentral.
AGUGAACGCUGGCGGUAGGCCUAACACAUGCAAGUCGAACGGCAGCACAGUAAGAGCUUGCUCUUACGGGUGGCGAGUGUCGGACGGGUGAGGAAUACAUCGGAAUCUACUUUUUCGUGGGGGUUAACGUAGGGAAACUUACGCUAAUACCGCAUACGACCUACGGUUUAAAUCAUUGGAUCUUCUGACCUUGCGCGAUUUAUUUAGCCGAUGUCGGAUUAGCUAGUUGGCGGGGUAAAGGCCCACCAAGGCGACGAUCCGUAGCUGGUCUGAGAGGAUGAUCAGCCAAACGGGAACUGAGACACGGACCAGAGUACUACGGGAGGAAGCAGUGGGGAAUAUUGGACAAUGGGCGCAAGCAUGAUACAGACAUACCGCGUGGGUGAAGAAGGCCUUCGGGUUGUAAAGCCCUUUUGUUGGGAAAGAAAAGCAGCAGGUUAAUACCACGCUGUUCUGACGGUACCCAAAGAAUAAGCACCGGCUAACUUCGUG